AUUGAACGCUGGCGGCAUGCCUUACACAUGCAAGUCGAACGGUAACAGGUCUUCGGAUGCUGACGAGUGGCGAACGGGUGAGUAAUACAUCGGAACGUGCCUAGUAGUGGGGGAUAACUACUCGAAAGAGUGGCUAAUACCGCAUGAGAUCUACGGAUGAAAGCAGGGGAUCGCAAGACCUUGUGCUACUAGAGCGGCGGAUGGCAGAUUAGGUAGUUGGUGGGAUAAAAGCUUACCAAGCCGACGAUCUGUGGCUGGUCUGAGAGGACGAUCAGCCACACUGGGACUGAGACACGGCCCAGACUCCUACGGGAGGCAGCAGUGGGGAAUUUUGGACAAUGGGCGAAAGCCUGAUCCAGCAAUGCCGCGUGCAGGAUGAAGGCCUUCGGGUUGUAAACUGCUUUUGUACGGAACGAAAAGCCCCGGGUUAAUACCCUGGGGUCAUGACGGUACCGUAAGAAUAAGCACCGGCUAACUACGUGCCAGCCGCCGCGGUAA
RNAcentral lists this ribosomal RNA (498 nucleotides) under uncultured bacterium. Its description in RNAcentral is "partial 16S ribosomal RNA". It matches the Rfam family "Bacterial small subunit ribosomal RNA", at positions 30 to 523 of the family's 1533-position model. The record is from RNAcentral.